CGCGUAGGUGGUAGUGUAAGUCUGAGGUGGAAUCCCAGGGCUUAACCCUGGAACUGCCUUGGAAACUGCAUUACUUGAGUCAGUGAGGGGAGGGUAGAAUUCCUGGUGUAGCGGUGAAAUGCGUAGAUAUCAGGAGGAAGGCCUGUGGCGAAGGCGGCCCUCUGGUGCUGGACUGACACUGAGGCGCGAAGGCGUGGGGAGCAAACAGGAUUAGAUACCCUGGUAGUCCACGCCCUAAACGGUGGGCACUAGGUGUAGGGCUCGUAAGGGUUCUGUGCCGAAGGGAAACCAUUAAGUGCCCCGCCUGGGGAGUACGGCCGCAAGGUUGAA
Molecule: ribosomal RNA, 330 nt
Filed under: uncultured bacterium
Lineage: Bacteria
Description: bacterial SSU rRNA
Rfam family: Bacterial small subunit ribosomal RNA
Source: RNAcentral